ACUUUUAAAGGAUAAUAGCAAUCCACUGGUCUUAGGAGCCAUCCACCUUGGUGCGAGUCCAAAUAGAAGUA
Molecule: non-coding RNA, 71 nt
Organism: Balearica pavonina (black crowned-crane)
Lineage: Eukaryota; Metazoa; Chordata; Aves; Gruiformes; Gruidae
Source: Rfam